RNAcentral lists this ribosomal RNA (450 nucleotides) under uncultured bacterium. RNAcentral's name for it is "partial 16S ribosomal RNA". It matches the Rfam family "Bacterial small subunit ribosomal RNA", at positions 354 to 796 of the family's 1533-position model. The record is from RNAcentral.
GUGGGGAAUUUUGGACAAUGGGGGCAACCCUGAUCCAGCAAUGCCGCGUGCAGGAAGAAGGCCUUCGGGUUGUAAACUGCUUUUGUACGGAACGAAACGGUCUGGGUUAAUACCCUGGGCUAAUGACGGUACCGUAAGAAUAAGCACCGGCUAACUACGUGCCAGCAGCCGCGGUAAUACGUAGGGUGCGAGCGUUAAUCGGAAUUACUGGGCGUAAAGCGUGCGCAGGCGGUGCUGUAAGACAGGCGUGAAAUCCCCGGGCUCAACCUGGGAAUUGCGCUUGUGACUGCAGUGCUGGAGUGCGGCAGAGGGGGAUGGAAUUCCGCGUGUAGCAGUGAAAUGCGUAGAUAUGCGGAGGAACACCGAUGGCGAAGGCAAUCCCCUGGGCCUGCACUGACGCUCAUGCACGAAAGCGUGGGGAGCAAACAGGAUUAGAUACCCUAGUAGUCC